Molecule: ribosomal RNA, 496 nt
Filed under: uncultured bacterium
Lineage: Bacteria
Description: bacterial SSU rRNA
Rfam family: Bacterial small subunit ribosomal RNA
Source: RNAcentral
UGAACGCUAGCGACAGGCCUAACACAUGCAAGUCGAGGGGCGAGCACAAGGAGCAAUCUGAGGUGGCGACCGGCGCACGGUGAGUAACACGUAUGCAACCUGCCUGUAAGACGGGGAAUAACCCGUUGAAAGACGGACUAAUACCGCAUAAUACUAAAUUACUGCAUGGUAAUUUAUUUAAACAUUUAUGGCUUACAGAUGGGCAUGCGCAUGAUUAGCUAGUUGGAGAGGUAACGGCUCCCCAAGGCAACGAUCAUUAGGGGUUCUGAGAGGAAGGUCCCCCACACUGGUACUGAGACACGGACCAGACUCCUACGGGAGGCAGUAGUGAGGAAUAUUGGUCAAUGGACGAGAGUCUGAACCAGCCAAGUCGCGUGCAGGAAGAAUGUCCUUAAUGGAUUGUAAACUGCUUUUGCAGGGGAAUAAAGUGCAUCACGUGUGAUGUUUUGUAUGUACUCUGCGAAUAAGGAUCGGCUAACUCCGUGCCAGCCGCUGC